Lolium perenne is the source of this 1297-nucleotide non-coding RNA. The record is from RefSeq and is a predicted model, not a curated record. Lineage: Eukaryota; Viridiplantae; Streptophyta; Magnoliopsida; Poales; Poaceae.
CUGUGAUCUGAAUCACUGCAAAUAGGUUUGCCAUUACAAUUGCCCAUGCUGGAGCAGUCAGGGAGGACAGGAUGUAUGGCUGGACUUCAGAUCCGAAAGACCAAUAGCCGCUGAACGCCAGUGUCCAGUAGGACAUGACGAUUAACAGAAGAAUUGCUGGUGUACUAACAAGUCAAUAUGAAACGUCUGACGAUGGAAACCUGAAUUUCUGGCAGCAUCGCAUCACCAAAUGAGAACGCUAUUGUGCCCAGUGCAUUGAAACCUCUGAAGAUCUUAGUUGCGGUGGUUCCUUGCAGGCUGUAGCCAACUUCCUUCCGGUCAAUCCGAUGUCCUGCAGAAGAACAUGAUUUCCAUAUCCUCAGGAAUUUCAGUACUUGAUGCAAAAUUAUUAUUUGCUGAUUUUUUACCAUCAUAUAGUGUGACGCUAAUGGCUGUCACGGCAAAUCCAAUGGUGCUAGCGGUGCAGGUGGCAUUCACCCACCGCAGCGAAUGUAUGUCAGGAAGCUGGGAGAGGAACAUCUCGAAUGCGCCAAACAGAAGGAUGAAGUGUUGCAGCGUGACCGCGGCGCCAUCGUCGGCGGCGUAGUAGUGCCUGUAGACAGCCUUGAGGCUGCUGCCAGCAGCAAUCUGGAUUGCGACGUUGUUGCCAAUUGACGCCACUUGCUGGAAGAAUGACACGUACCAGUAGCCCCAGGGACCUUCAACAAAGUGCAGCUUCUUGUCAUCACUCAAGGCAAUGGAAGAAGGAGGGAGAACUAUCUGAUGGGAGAAAAACUGUACCCACCAAAGAUGCUCUUUGCAAGAAGCCGGUAGCUGGUGUGCUUCUCUCCGUUCCACUGCCACAGCGAGGCAACAACCAAGCUAGAACACCAGAAGAGGGAGCAAGUAGCGGAAGCUGAUUCUUAGAGCCCAAGCAACUACAGAACGAUGGAUCACAUGCUUGGGCCAACAAGGCUCAUCAAUGUGCUUGCUUACAUGGGCCGAGACAGAGGAGAGACGGCCCCACGUGCCCAUGAAAGUGGUUGCCCCACUGGAACGCGUGGUCCCUAUCCUGUAAUACAACUUAUCCGACACGGUUGUUGACUGUUGACUAUUUGUGAUUAGGUUGCCAAUCUGAAAUAGUUUAGCAUUGAUUUUUUUUUUCUGCAUGCGUGUUUUCUCCGAGGGAAAAUUAGCAACGUUUGUCAAAACAAUCUCUGAUCGAUGAAGUGAAGAUGAGUCUGGAACUCUGGAUGUGCUUUGCUCUGAUCCUGGUUUGCACAAGGAGAUAGCUGACAUGUUAUCAAUCUUCUGCUUU